RNAcentral lists this long non-coding RNA (2569 nucleotides) under Homo sapiens (human). Its description in RNAcentral is "HSALNT0293484". Lineage: Eukaryota; Metazoa; Chordata; Mammalia; Primates; Hominidae. The record is from RNAcentral.
CCCCUAAAAAGAUAUGUUUACCUCCAAAUCCCUAGAACUUGUGCAUGUUACUUUAUUUGGAAAAUUGAUCUUUGCAGAUGUAAUGAAGUUAAGAAUCUUAAUAUAAGAUUAUCCUGGAAUACCUGACUGGGACCUAAAUCCAAUGACAACCGUCCUUAUAAGAAAAGUGGAGACACGUGGAGGCAAAGGUGCUGUGAACAUGAAGCUAGAGAUAGCAGUGAUGUGGCCACAAGCCAAGGAAGCCCGGGAAUGCCAACAGCCACCAAAAGCUGGAAGAGGUAGGGAGGGAUUCACCUCUAGAGACUCCAGAGGGUCAUGGCCCUGCUGACACCUUGAUUUCGGAAUCCCAGCCUCCAAAAUGGUGAGAGAAUAAAUUUCUGUUGUUUGAAGCCACCUGGUUUAUGAUGAUUUAUUACAGCAGCCCAGAGAAACUAAUACAGUACAGUGGGAACAGGGCCAAGGGAGGUGGUCAGCAGAAAUGAAGCACUGUCCGGAUGGUGUGAAAGUGAUCUAUGCUGUGGUCAGAACAGUGGAAGGCCAUGAACUUUGCCGGCGAGUGCCUUUGUUCUGAGUCAAAGUGUUCCUCGGUAUGUGAAGGACAUCAGGUCCAAAGGCUGCUAGUGACUGAACAGAUAACGUGAAUUCCAUCAAAGCUUGACUUCUGCUCAUCCCUACCUCUCCUCCCGAAGAUAGUACGGAAUUGCAAGGGAAGAAUUGGUCCACGUCUGUGAGAGGAGGCCUCUGAAACACGCUGACUUCACAGAGGAGAAGGAAUGAGCUCAAUUUCAGGCACCUCCUCCGGGGCGGUCAAGAGCAGAAUGAAGGAGAACAUGUAUGGCCCUAGGUUGGCCUUGAAGAAUUAGAGAAGCUGCUGGUGCCCCGCCCCCAACCUGGCCCAACAGCAGAGCCUCCGCUAGGGGGAGCCGUGGAGACCUGAUUUCCUCUGCGCCGCCUUUCCUAAUGAAUACCCCAGGGGAGCUCCUGGCAGCACCCUGUGGAAUGGCCCCGCGGAGCUCUGGCCCCUGGAAUUUGCCCUUCACAAUUAUGCUCCCUGCUGGGAGAAGUAUAAAUAUGGAUGGAGCGUGGCGUCUUUAAACAUGGCACAAGAGUAGAGGAACAACCAAGUCCAAAUGAUAAUAUUUUGAAACGCCACGGGGAGCCUCUGCUGCUGUUGAGUUAGAAUUGCUUCUCUUUCAUGUGAUUAAAGAAGCCCUUGUGGGUUUUUGCUUUUCCUUAGAGACAUACCAUGGUUUCUCCCCCCGCACUACAGCACUGAACGAUUUUUAAGGUUUCUAAGUGCACUCCAUUUACAUUUCCUACUCAUUCUCUAAAUGAAAGGCAGGCUAAAACACAUUAAUGAGCUUCCUGAUUACUGCAGCCCUUGAGAAAUUAAUUAAUGACAAUGCAGCCACACUUAACAUUCCUCCUCCUUUCUGAGUUUGGAAAGCGGGAGGAGCUGCGCUUUAAUCCACGCCCAACCAAGAGCCACCAUGUGUCUUUAGCCGAAGAGUUGGUUUGCCAGGACACAUUUCAGAUUGCCUUUCCUAGAGAAAAGCCAUUCCCUGAAUAAUUAAGAGACAGCAUCUUUUCCAUUGUCUGGAAUUUUUUUUUACCCUAAAUUAGGUGGUUUAAGCUGGUAGAUGUUGGGUAUGACUUGUUUCUUUUCUUUUCUUUUCUCUUUUUUAAGUAAAUAAGUGUCAAGCACCAGCAUUUACCUGGCCCUUCCCUUAUAAUAAUAGCCAACACUUUAAAGUUGCUUGUCAGGGACUGUUCCAACUGCUCUGUCUUUCUUUGCCUCUCUCUGUGUGUACAUAUUUACUUAUUAAAUCUCACAAUAACCCUGGGGUAGGUGGUAUUAUUAUCCCCUAUUUACAAAGAGUGAAGAAGAAGAACAAGACAUAUCCACGGAUCUACCAGCUAAAACUACCUAAUUUAGGACUUUAAAAAAUUCCUAAGCCAUUAAAAAAGAUGCCAUCACUGAAGAACAUACAGUGAGAAAGUGGAAGAGCCAUGAUCUGAACUCAAAGGGAUUGGCUCAGAAUCCAUGCCUUAGCCAGUAACUACAUCUACAGCCAGCCAUAUGUACAUUUGUAUCUUGAGUUGUUUUUAUUUUUUAAUCUGUGUUUAUUUUAUUAUUUAUUUUCUAUUGUAUAUAUUUAAGGUAUACAACAUGAUGUUUUGAUAUACAUAGUGAAACGAUUAUUGCAGGUAAGCAAAUUAACGUAUUCAUCACCUUCCCUACCUUCUCUAGUUACCCUGUUUUCAGUAAGAGCACCUAAAAUCUAGUCUCUUAGCAACUUUUCAAUAUACAAGACUGUAUGAUUAACUAUAGUCCUCCUGCUGUAUGUUGGAUUUUUAAAUUUAUCCUUCCCACAUAACUUUGUACCUUCUGACAAACUCCCCAUUUCUUUCCCCUCCCCACCCUUGGUAACCACUGUUCUACUCUGUUUCUAUGUAUUAGACUUUUUGUUAGAUUCCACAUACAAGUGAGAUCAUGCAGUAGUUUUCUUUCUGUAUCUGUCUUACUUUUUAGCAUAAAGUACUCCAGGUUCAUUCAUGUUGUAGCAAA